UUUUAUAUACAAUUUGUAAAUGAAAGAAGGCUGGAUCUCAUCUGAUCUCAGAAGGCAGGCAGGGUUGGAUCUGGUUAGUACUUGGAGGGGAGACUGCCUGGGAAUACUGGAUGUAUAGGCU
This is a non-coding RNA of Otolemur garnettii (small-eared galago), 121 nucleotides long. NCBI's taxonomy places the organism in Eukaryota, Metazoa, Chordata, Mammalia, Primates, Galagidae. The record is from Rfam.